Non-coding RNA from Microcebus murinus (gray mouse lemur), 605 nucleotides. The record is from RefSeq and is a predicted model, not a curated record. Lineage: Eukaryota; Metazoa; Chordata; Mammalia; Primates; Cheirogaleidae.
GCUGAGACCGCUGGAGCAGCCUGGAGACCAGCAGGAAGGGCACUGACAUCGCUAUGCGUGUAAAGAUGAAAGAGCCAGGGAGUAUUUUCAUUCAUCUCAUGCAACUCCAAUGUCAUGUGCAUUUUUCCGAAGACAGUGGCCAUGGCUGAACAAUUUAAAGAAGCAAGUAAAUGUGUCCUCUGCCUAUCUUAUCUUGAAAAACCCAUGGUCCUCGAUUCUGGCUUUAUCUGCUGCCUCUGAUGUAUCAGUGCACUCCGGAAGGAGCCCAGUGGGGAAGGCGUCUCAUGCCCCUCCUGUUCUGUGGUCACUCAGAAGAAUGACAUCCGGCCCAAUUACCAGCUGGGGAAGAUGGUUUCCAAAAUCAAGGAACUAGAGCCCCAGCUGAGAGCAGUUCUAUACCAGAACCCAAGAAUGCUGAAGUUCCAAGUUGACAUGACCAACAAUUGACUCCUCAUUUCUGCUGACAUGUUGUCCUUCCAUUGUGGACCUCUCAGACAGAAUUGGAGGGAGUGUGCUGAGAGAUUCAAACAUGUAAUAUGUGUCCUGGGCUCCCCUCGAUUCACCUCUGCUCAUCAUUACUGGGAAGCGGACUUGGGGACAAGCAA